Molecule: transfer RNA, 78 nt
Filed under: Nocardiopsis dassonvillei
Lineage: Bacteria; Bacillati; Actinomycetota; Actinomycetes; Streptosporangiales; Nocardiopsidaceae
Also listed under: 5 other names
Description: tRNA-Pro
Rfam family: tRNA
About the family: Transfer RNA (tRNA) molecules are approximately 80 nucleotides in length.
Source: RNAcentral
CGGGGUGUAGCGCAGCUUGGUUAGCGCGCAUGCUUUGGGAGCAUGAGGCCGCGGGUUCGAAUCCCGCCACCCCGACGA